This 253-nucleotide ribosomal RNA is filed under the name uncultured bacterium. RNAcentral's name for it is "partial 16S ribosomal RNA". It matches the Rfam family "Bacterial small subunit ribosomal RNA", at positions 524 to 776 of the family's 1533-position model. The record is from RNAcentral.
UACGUAGGCAGCGAGCGUUGUUCGGAAUUACUGGGCGUAAAGAGUGUGUAGGCGGUGUUCUCAGUCUGUUGUGAAAUCUCCCGGCUUAACUGGGAGGGUGCAGCGGAAACUAGAAUGCUAGAGGGUGGGAGAGGUAAGCGGAAUUCCUGGUGUAGCGGUGAAAUGCGCAGAUAUCAGGAAGAACACCCGUGGCGAAGGCGGUUCUCUGGGACGGUACUGACGCUGAGACGCGAAAGCGUGGGGAGCGAACAGG